GGUAAGUGCGGGCGAGCAGCGGGGGGAAUAGGAGGGGGGCUAGCGUGGCGCGGAAUCACUGGGCGUAAAGCGCACGUAGGCGGCGUUUUAAGGCAGGGGUGAAAUCCUGGAGCUCAACUCCAGAACUGCCUUUGAUACUGAGAAGGUUGAGUCCGGGAGAGGUGAGUGGAACUGCGAGUGUAGAGGUGAAAUUCGUAGAUAUUCGCAAGAACACCAGUGGCGAAGGCGGCUCACUGGCCCGGUACUGACGCUGAGGUGCGAAAGCGUGGGGAGCAAACAGGAUUAGAUACCCGAGUAGUC
Molecule: ribosomal RNA, 300 nt
Filed under: uncultured Bacillus sp.
Lineage: Bacteria; Bacillati; Bacillota; Bacilli; Caryophanales; Bacillaceae
Description: bacterial SSU rRNA
Rfam family: Bacterial small subunit ribosomal RNA
Source: RNAcentral